UUUGUCGUUCGUUGUGAGAAUUUGAUCUCGUGAGUUAUCGUAAUUGUUGUAUUAAGUUACCUACCUAGUUCGUAUGCACUAGGUUACAAGGCUAAAUCAAUAGGCUAAGCUCUGCCUGUAUAAAUCUGCAAUAUAUCAAGGCUUAUCUGUAGACUAAACUUUGGCCGUAUGAAUCUGCAUGAUUAUAAUGUAAUUACAGUAGAUUGGAGUAAGGAUUGGAUCCGGCACUAAA
Molecule: long non-coding RNA, 232 nt
Filed under: Helianthus annuus (common sunflower)
Lineage: Eukaryota; Viridiplantae; Streptophyta; Magnoliopsida; Asterales; Asteraceae
Description: hypothetical non coding rna
Source: RNAcentral